CCUGGCUUAACCUGCAUGUUCUGGUUGUCUGUGUCAGCUGUGACAGGCCCUUAGCUGCUCCAUGCAUGCUCAGCUCACCCCUGCUCUGCCCUCUGCCCUAGGAAGAUCUUUGCCUUUGACCUGGAUGCCAGGCGGCUGGCAUCCAUGGCCACGCUGCUGGCCUGGGCUGGCGUCUCCUGCUGUGAGCUGGCUGAGGAGGACUUCCUGGCGGUCUCCCCCUUAGAUCCGCGCUAUCGUGAGGUCCACUAUGUCCUGCUGGAUCCUUCCUGCAGUGGCUCGGGUGAGAUGGUGAGAAGGCGUGGCUGAGGGACUCAGAGGUCCACAGCAGCUUAGACCUGGAGUCAUCUGUUUUGGUCUUAGUUCUGACACUUUAAUGGGCUUGGGACCCUGGAGCAAAAGUUCUCCUCUGUGAAGCGAGGAUUUCAGGAGCGAGGAUUUCAGGACUGAGGCAGCCUGUGAAGCUGUGUAACCGAGACACGCUUUUCCUUAGGUAUGCCGAGCAGACAGCUGGAGGAGCCCGGGGCAGGGACACCUAGCCCGCGGCUCGUCUACUCCAUGUGCUCCCUCUGCCAGGAGGAGAAUGAAGACAUGGUACAAGAUGCGCUGCAGCAGAACCCGGGCGCCUUCAGGCUAGCUCCCGCCCUGCCUGCCCGGCCCCACCGAGGCCUGAGCACGUUCCCGGGUGCCGAGCACUGCCUCCGGGCUUCCCCCAAGACCACGCUUAGCGGUGGCUUCUUCGUUGCUGUAAUUGAACGGGUCGAGAUGCCGACGUGAGUGAGUGGGGGCAUGCUUGGGAGGCGCAGGAUGGUACUGGCACAUCUAACAUCUACAUUUCUCUAGCUCAGCCUCACAGGCCAAAGCAUCAGCACCAGAACGCACACCCAGCCCAGCCCCAAAGAGAAAGAAGAGAGCAAAAAGCUGCAGCCGGUGCUUGCACACCGCCUUGCACAUAGCAGAGGCUCCGGGCUCACUCCUUCCUGGUGGGAAAGGAAGAUGCCUGUCCUCUCCGUGGAAGACCCUGGGCCCUCACCGCAGGCAGCAGUUUGCGUUUUGAAAGGUUAUUGGGUCCCUUCCUCGGGCUGUGUUCUUGCUGGUGAGCAAAAGUGUUGCCUGCAGAAAUAAAAUGCAGAACGUACUCUACGAUAGAUCACAGUUUUUUAUUCUUAAUGUCACAAGCAGGAGAAAAAUCUCACAUUCAUACUAAAAAUUCCAACUAGACUCAACAGGAAUGAAGUCUCUAUUUGUAAUGGAAAGUCCCAGCCUCCCGCUGCCGUCCAGUGCGUGUACUGUACACAUCCACACUCAUUCUCACUCAGGGUUCCCGGACCGGCUGUCCUGCCUGCGGAACUGAGGUAAACUAGCUCAGGUACUGACACUAGGAGGGUCUACCUUACAUAAGGUACAGGUAGAAGCUUGAUUGCUAGGCCCAGGCCCACCCAGACCCUCCAAUCCUAACAGGUAUUUAGGCUUGAGGUUCACUCCCUCCUCAGCUGCACACGCAGCCAGGUAUUAACGAGGAUCAGAGCUGUUCUGAGGGGUGGGAAGGAGCAGCCCCGCCACCACUCACUCACCCUCAGUCACAUCGGGGAGGGGGCACCAGUUACA
RNAcentral lists this long non-coding RNA (1605 nucleotides) under Homo sapiens (human). RNAcentral describes it as "non-protein coding lnc-TRIM74-1:4". Lineage: Eukaryota; Metazoa; Chordata; Mammalia; Primates; Hominidae. The record is from RNAcentral.